This 1028-nucleotide ribosomal RNA is filed under the name uncultured bacterium. Its description in RNAcentral is "bacterial SSU rRNA". It matches the Rfam family "Bacterial small subunit ribosomal RNA", at positions 338 to 1378 of the family's 1533-position model. The record is from RNAcentral.
UCUACGGGAGGCAGCAGUGGGAUCUUGCACAAUGGGGGAAAUCCUGAUGCAGCGACGCCGCGUGGAGGAUGAAGGGUCUAGGCCUGUAAACUCCUUUUGACAGGAAAGACUUAGGACGGUACCUGUCGAAUAAGGACCGGGCUAACUACGUGCCAGCAGCCGCGGUAAGACGUAGGGUCCAAGCGUUGUCCGGGAUUUACUGGGCGUAAAGAGCGCGUAGGCGGUCUGUUAAGUGUAGAGUGAAAUCUCCAGGGCUCAACCCGGAAACUGCUCUGCAUACUGGCAGACUUGAGGGAUGCAGAGGUGUAUGGAAUUCCUGGUGUAGCGGUGAAAUGCGUUGAUAUCAGGAGGAACACCCAUGGCGAAGGCAGUUCACUGGGCAUCAUCUGACGCUUAGGCGCGAAAGCGUGGGUAGCAAACAGGAUUAGAUACCCUGGUAGUCCACGCCCUAAACGAUGGAUACUAGGCGUAAGAGGUAUCGACCCCUCUUGUGCCGCAGCUAACGCACUAAGUAUCCCGCCUGGGGAGUACGGCCGCAAGGUUGAAACUCAAAUGAAUUGACGGGGACCCGCACAAGCGGUGGAGCAUGUGGAUUAAUUCGAUACUAACCGAAGAACCUUACCCAGACUUGACAUCGAUCGCAAGCUCUAGAAAUAGGGCCCUCCCCCACAAGGGGACGUGAAGACACUUGUUGCAUGGCUGUCGUCAGCUCGUGCCGUGAGGUGUACGGUUAAGUCCGCCAACGAGCGCAACCCUCGUCCUGUGUUACCAGCAUGAAAGAUGGGAACUCACAGGAGACCGCCGGUGUAAGCCGGAGGAAGGUGGGGAUGACGUCAAGUCAGCAUGGCAGUUACGUCUGGGGCUUCACACAUGCUACAAUGGGCGAAACAAAGGGUCGCAAUACCGCGAGGUGGAGCUAAUCCCAAAAAUACGCCCCCAGUUCAGAUUGCAGUCUGCAACUCGACUGCAUGAAGGCGGAAUCGCUAGUAAACGCAGGUCAGCUAUACCGCGGUGAAUACGUUCCCGGG